Molecule: unclassified non-coding RNA, 379 nt
Filed under: uncultured Pseudomonadota bacterium
Lineage: Bacteria; Pseudomonadati; Pseudomonadota
Description: uncultured proteobacterium contains 16S-23S intergenic spacer region
Source: RNAcentral
UCCGGUUUGUCACCGGCAGUCUCCUUAGAGUUCCCGCCAUUACGCGCUGGCAACUAAGGACAAGAGUUGCGCUCGUUGCGGGACUUAACCCAACAUCUCACGACACGAGCUGACGACAGCCAUGCAGCACCUGUCUCACGGUUCCCGAAGGCACUCCCUCAUCUCUGAAGGAUUCCGUGGAUGUCAAGGCCAGGUAAGGUUCUGCGCGUUGCAUCGAAUUAAACCACAUACUCCACCGCUUGUGCGGGCCCCCGUCAAUUCCUUUGAGUUUCAGUCUUGCGGCCGUACUCCCCAGGCGGAGUGCUUAAUGCGUUAGCUUCGGCACUGCAGGGGUCGAUACCCGCAACACCAAGUGCCCAUCGUUUACAGCGUGGACUAC